UACGUAGGGGGCUAGCGUUGUUCGGAAUUACUGGGCGUAAAGCGCACGUAGGCGGCUACUCAAGUCAGAGGUGAAAGCCCAGGGCUCAACCUUGGAACUGCCUUUGAAACUAGGUAGCUAGAAUUCUGGAGAGGUCAGUGGAAUUCCGAGUGUAGAGGUGAAAUUCGUAGAUAUUCGGAAGAACACCAGUGGCGAAGGCGACUGACUGGACAGAUAUUGACGCUGAGGUGCGAAAGCGUGGGGAGCAAACAGG
This 253-nucleotide ribosomal RNA is filed under the name uncultured bacterium. RNAcentral describes it as "partial 16S ribosomal RNA". It matches the Rfam family "Bacterial small subunit ribosomal RNA", at positions 524 to 776 of the family's 1533-position model. The record is from RNAcentral.